Molecule: long non-coding RNA, 732 nt
Filed under: Oryza brachyantha (malo sina)
Lineage: Eukaryota; Viridiplantae; Streptophyta; Magnoliopsida; Poales; Poaceae
Description: long non-coding RNA (OBRA_LNC003019)
Source: RNAcentral
UUGUGUUAAUUUGUACUUAUUAAUGAACUUUGCAUAUGCAUUGCAGUAAGCUACAAAUAUGAUAGAGUAGAAAAAUAGUUGGAGUAAAAAAAACGCGCUCAUGGCUGGGAUAUUGGAGUCAAAUAAAUUAAGUUAAGAUGUUUGUAUGUUGUAUGUAUAUCUUGUUUUGUCAGCAAUACUUAAAGGUGUAUAAUUAAUCUCCUAACGAAGUGCACAAAUAACCGGGCUAUAUAUAGAUUGAGAUUUAACCAAACAUGUAAGACAUAUUAGAGCCAGAUAAGAUAAGUGUGUGGAGGAAGGAGUAUGAAAAGUAAAAAAUACAUACCAUUUUUAUCCUUAUUGUGGCUAGAGUUGGGGUUGAGAUCAGUGUUGGUGAACGCCUCGCCAGUCUUCUUGCCGGCAAUGAUAACGAUGGACACGUUGGACUCGCCGUACUCCUACUCGGCGAGGCUGAGGAGGUCAAAGGGUUUAGACAUCGCUAAAGCGGCGGGUAGUGACUGCAGUGUCGCCGCUGAGCUAUUAGUUUUAGAUAUAUUGUGUUGUGUUAAUUUGUACUUAUUAAUGAACUUUACAUAUGCAUUGCGGUAAGCUAUACAUAUAUAUAUAGAUAUGAUAGGGUACAAAAAUAGUUGGAGUAGAUAUCUUAUGUAUGUCAUAACAAACUUUAUGUAAUCAUUAUUAUGUAUGUCAUAAAUAUCUAAAAUUGGCAUGAGUGAAAUUAAUUAUGUACCG